AGUAUUUGAUUACUCCUUUCCUACAAAAAAGCAUUUCAAACCCAAAGGGAAUAUGGCUCAUUUAUUUGCUGAGUGGGACUGGAGGCCCAUAGCCGCAGAAGAUCCUGGCCCCACAGCAGCAGAGAGCAAGCUCAGAGUGCUGUCAGGUCUCUCCUGCUGCCUCUCGCCAUGAUGAUGUAGUGGAAAAAUGGUCAACAAAGCUAUUUCCUACUGUGUGCUAAAUGCCCAUCAUGGGAAGUCCCAGAUUCCAGGAACAAGAAGAUCAUGGGUGAGGCAGCUGCUCAGAAACAAAUGUCUUUCAACAAUUACCCCCAGGCAUGGGUGAUACAUCCUCUUCGCAGACAGCAGAAAAACAGCAGAUUUGUGAUUUAAUUGGGAGUUUUCUGGGAUCGAACAGUGGCUUCGUUUACAGACGUGACAGCUUGAGCCAGAGGGUGCCAGCCAGCGCCAUGAUGUGACCAAGGCCAUCAACAGCAGAGCCGCAAGGGAGCAGGAGCCUUGGUCCCUGAGGACAUGCUGGAGCUAACUUGGGAAUCCUGAGGUGGCCACCUCCAAAAUUUUACAUGAAAGAGAAAAGUAAACAUCUAACUUGCUUAAGCUGCUAUUGUUUUGGGGUUUGUCAUUUACAGCCAAACCUAAUCCUCAUUAAAAUAGUGGUGGAACUGGAAUUUGAACCAGUUUACUCCCAAGACCAAA
Pan troglodytes (chimpanzee) is the source of this 696-nucleotide long non-coding RNA. RefSeq lists it as uncharacterized. NCBI's taxonomy places the organism in Eukaryota, Metazoa, Chordata, Mammalia, Primates, Hominidae. The transcript has 4 exons. The record is from RefSeq and is a predicted model, not a curated record.